This 494-nucleotide ribosomal RNA is filed under the name uncultured bacterium. Its description in RNAcentral is "partial 16S ribosomal RNA". It matches the Rfam family "Bacterial small subunit ribosomal RNA", at positions 28 to 507 of the family's 1533-position model. The record is from RNAcentral.
GACGAACGCUGGCGGCGUGCCUAAUACAUGCAAGUAGAACGCUGAAGGAGGAGCUUGCUCUUCUGGAUGAGUUGCGAACGGGUGAGUAACGCGUAGGUAACCUGCCUGGUAGCGGGGGAUAACUAUUGGAAACGAUAGCUAAUACCGCAUAAUAGUAGAUGUUGCAUGAUAUUUACUUAAAAGGUGCAAUUGCACCACUACCAGAUGGACCCGCGUUGUAUUAGCUAGUUGGUGGGGUAACGGCUCACCAAGGCGACGAUACAUAGCCGCCCUGAGAGGGUAUUCAGCACACCGGGAAUGGGACACGGCCCAGGCCCCCACGGGAGGCAGCAGUAGGGAAUUUUCGGCAAUGGACGAAAAGCUGACCGAGCAACGCCGCGUUAGUGGAGGAGGGUUUCGGAGCGUAAAAGCCUGUUGGAAGAGAAGAACGAGUGGGAGAUUAAAAAGUUCACACUGUGACGGUAUCUUACCAGAAAGCGACGGCUAACUACGUG